RNAcentral lists this unclassified non-coding RNA (639 nucleotides) under Allium cf. cretaceum NF-2013. RNAcentral's name for it is "sequence contains ITS1, 5.8S rRNA gene and ITS2". The stretch from base 241 to 394 matches the Rfam family "5.8S ribosomal RNA". The record is from RNAcentral. Lineage: Eukaryota; Viridiplantae; Streptophyta; Magnoliopsida; Asparagales; Amaryllidaceae.
UAGAGUUCCAUUUUGAACAAUUGUGAAGUUGUACUUAUACCCGUCGAGAACUAGGAGUUUGUGCCGUUAGCACUUGCAUUGUUUAGGCGGGCUCCAUUUGCUGCCUUCAUCUUAUUUCAAUAGAAAUAAGAAGGAGAGUAGAAAUAAGAAACCGGCACGGUUUGUGCCAAGGACAGUUGUUGUUGGAGUGCAUUGCCAUCAUUUUGGUGUGCUUUGUGUUAUUCUAGUGAGUGUGUAAAUGACUCCUGGCAAUGGAUAUCUUGGCUCUCGUGUCGAUGAAGAACGUAGCGAAAUGCGACACUUGGUGUGAAUUGCAGAAUCCCGUGAACCAUCGAGUCUUUGAAUGCAAGUUGCGCUCGAGGCCUAGGUUGAGAGCACGUCUGUUUGGGCGUCAUGCCUUGCGUCAUUCUAACCACCCACCUAUGAUAAGCAUAUUGUAAGUGGUGGUAGAUGUGGAAAUUGACCCUCCGUGCUUUAAUUAUGCGGUUGGUUCAAGUGAAUGUAGUUGCUAGGUCUACGCGCGGUGAAUGGUGUAUCGAGUCAGCACACGAUGUCUAUAACCGCGCCUAUGGGUCCUAGGCAUGAUGUAACAUUAACUAAAACCAAUUUCGAUGUUUGCCACAAUCGCAAGGUCGAACC